This 30-nucleotide non-coding RNA is filed under the name Rattus norvegicus (Norway rat). Lineage: Eukaryota; Metazoa; Chordata; Mammalia; Rodentia; Muridae. The record is from RNAcentral.
UUGUGCUCUUACUCUUGGUUAUUUCCCUGG